GAUGAACGCUAGCUACAGGCUUAACACAUGCAAGUCGAGGGGAAACGAUAGAGAAAGCUUGCUUUUUCUAGGCGUCGACCGGCGCACGGGUGAGUAACGCGUAUCCAACAUGCCCAUCACUUGGGGAUAACCUUGCGAAAGUAAGACUAAUACCCAAUGACGUCUCUAGAAGACAUCUGAAAGAGAUUAAAGAUGUAUCGGUGAUGGAUGGGGAUGCGUCUGAUUAGCUUGUUGGCGGGGUAACGGCCCACCAAGGCGACGAUCAGUAGGGGGUCUGAGAGGAAGGUCCCCCACAUUGGAACUGAGACACGGUCCAAACUCCUACGGGAGGCAGCAGUGAGGAAGAUUGGUCAAUGGGCGAGAGCCUGAACCAGCCAAGUAGCGUGCAGGAUGACGGCCCUAUGGGUUGUAAACUGCUUUUAUAAGGGAAUAAAGUGAGUCUCGUGAGACUUUUUGCAUGUACCUUAUGAAUAAGGACCGGCUAAUUCCGUGCCAGCAGCCGCUGUAA
This 508-nucleotide ribosomal RNA is filed under the name uncultured bacterium. RNAcentral describes it as "partial 16S ribosomal RNA". It matches the Rfam family "Bacterial small subunit ribosomal RNA", at positions 28 to 523 of the family's 1533-position model. The record is from RNAcentral.